RNAcentral lists this ribosomal RNA (774 nucleotides) under uncultured Neocallimastigales. RNAcentral describes it as "partial large subunit ribosomal RNA". It matches the Rfam family "Eukaryotic large subunit ribosomal RNA", at positions 26 to 635 of the family's 3401-position model. The record is from RNAcentral. Lineage: Eukaryota; Fungi; Neocallimastigomycota; Neocallimastigomycetes; Neocallimastigales.
CGCAUCUGUGCAUGCAGCAUAUCAAUAAGCGGAGGAAAAGAAACUAACAAGGAUUCCCCUAGUAACGGCGAGUGAAGCGGGAAGAGCUCAAAUUUGAAAUCUUAAAGGGUUUCCCUUUACGAAUUGUAGUUUAAAGAAGUGUUUUCUGUUGAGGUUUUGGUAAAAGUUCUUUGGAAUAGGACAUCAUAGAGGGUGAGAAUCCCGUAUUUGACCUUUACUUUCAACUUUGUGAUACACUUUCAAAGAGUCGGAUUGUUUGGGAAUGCAGUCCAAAAUGGGUGGUAAAUUUCAUCUAAAGCUAAAUAUUGGCGAGAGACCGAUAGCGAACAAGUACCGUGAGGGAAAGAUGAAAAGAACUUUGAAAAGAGAGUUAAACAGUACGUGAAAUUGUCAAAAGGGAAGCGUUUGACACCAGUGUUGUUUUUCUGAAAAUCAAUUAAAGAACUGUUUAUGCUAAGCUGUUUAGACUUUAUCAGCUAACUGUUUAGUUUUGAGCUUUUCUUUAAUGCACUUUUCAGUUAACAAGUCAACAUCAAUUUCUUUUGCUGUAAAAAAGCUUGAGGAAGGUGGCUUGAGAUUCGUCUUAAGUGUUUAUAGCCUCUUGCCUAUGCAGUCGGAGAGAUUGAGGUCUGCAGCGUAGAUCCUUCGGGGCUAAAUGCAUUUGUGCUAAGUUAUAGCGUUUUAUAGACAACUUGUUGACUAUGAUUUGUCUUGUAGCUUACUCGCUUAUGUUAUUUUACCUACGCUUAGGAUGUUGAACGCGCACAGAGUCUC